ACAACUUUCAACAACGGAUCUCUUGGCUCUCGCAUCGAUGAAGAACGCAGCGAAAUGCGAUAAGUAAUGUGAAUUGCAGAAUUCAGUGAAUCAUCGAAUCUUUGAACGCACCUUGCGCUCCUUGGUAUUCCGAGGAGCAUGCCUGUUUGAGUGUCAUGA
RNAcentral lists this ribosomal RNA (159 nucleotides) under Tricholoma matsutake. RNAcentral describes it as "5.8S ribosomal RNA". It matches the Rfam family "5.8S ribosomal RNA". Rfam says of the family: 5.8S ribosomal RNA (5.8S rRNA) is a component of the large subunit of the eukaryotic ribosome. It is transcribed by RNA polymerase I as part of the 45S precursor that also contains 18S and 28S rRNA. RNAcentral also lists the same sequence under 2 other names. The record is from RNAcentral. Lineage: Eukaryota; Fungi; Basidiomycota; Agaricomycetes; Agaricales; Tricholomataceae.